This 195-nucleotide unclassified non-coding RNA is filed under the name fungal sp. Its description in RNAcentral is "partial internal transcribed spacer region". The stretch from base 1 to 46 matches the Rfam family "Eukaryotic small subunit ribosomal RNA", at positions 1786 to 1831 of the family's 1831-position model. The record is from RNAcentral. Lineage: Eukaryota; Fungi.
AAGUCGUAACAAGGUCUCCGUAGGUGAACCUGCGGAGGGAUCAUUAUCGAAGAUAAGAGUGCGCUUCAUUGCGGCUCGACCCUUCAUCCACUCACCCUGUGCACUGUAAUACCUUUUUCAUUAGACUCUCAAGUCAUUGAAUGUAACACUUUAAUAAAGUAAACAAAACUUUCAACAACGGAUCUCUUGGCUCUC